AUACUGGGAUCGAUGGGCACGGGAUAAAACCACAGAUGUAUUUUAAGAAGAGAAUGUUUACUGUCUCUUUAGCCUGAAGGUAGGAAUGGGUAGGAAAACAUUAAUCGCCUAAGUUUUGUGGAUUUGUUUACAAUUUCUACGAAAAGCAAAUGCAUUUUGAUGAUCAUAUCUUUGCAGUAUCAGUGCGUGCAGCAAAACAUGGAAAGGCUUUGGAUGUUGCAGCAGGACUUGCAUGGAGCUAUCAACAUUUGUAGUUAAAAAGGCAGGUGCAAAUUAGACAACUUAUCUUGGGGAGCUACUGAAGAUCUGAUCAUGUCAGAGUAAUGUCAAAGUGCUUACAGUGCAGGUAGUGAUAUAAGAACCUACUGCAGUGAAGGCACUUGUAGCAUUAUAUUGACAAGUGCCACUGGAUAUCUUGCAGAACUACAGAAAUUUUCAAGGUACAAUGUGGUAUUAAGUGCUUUUUGUUCUAAGGUGCAUCUAGUGCAGAUAGUGAAGUAGAUUAGCAUCUACUGCCCUAAGUGCUCCUUCUGGCAUAAGAAGUUAUAUCUUCAUCCAGUCACUCUGAUUGAUUGAGAAUAUAGAUGUUCCAAUAGCUGCUCAGCAGUCCUCUGUUAGUUUUGCAUAGUUGCACUACAAGAAGAAUGUAGUUGUGCAAAUCUAUGCAAAACUGAUGGUGGCCUGUUAUUGUCUACAUCAAGAAAGUGAAUGUGUUUUACUGCUUGUUUAUGUAUUUUGGUGGUCUUGCUUUCAUAGCAGUUCCUUCAGUUUAGUAAAUGACAGCUCCUGUGGUACUAAAGUGCUUAUAGUGCAGGUAGUGUUCAGUAAUCUACUGCAUUAUGAGCACUUAAAGUACUGCUAGCUGUAGAACUACAACUUCAGCAUGCCUUCCUAUCAGACUAACUUGUUUUGUUUAAUUGAACACUGUUCUCUGGUUAGUUUUGCAGGUUUGCAUCCAGCUGUAUGAUACUCUGCUGUGCAAAUCCAUGCAAAACUGACUGUGGCAGUGACAAGUCAGUGAAUAAGUGAGGAAAGUUGUACCCCUUUCUACACAGGUUGGGAUCAGUUGCAAUGCUGUGUGUGCCUAUAGUAUUGCACUUGUCCCGGCCUGUUGAGGUUGGUGGGGACACAGGCUGCAACAUCUUCAGUAGUUUAUUUUAGGAAGUUACACUGCAUUUUUCCAGAAAAUCUGAAUACCUAGUAACUUGUUUUCUGAACUGUUCCAUGUAAACUAAUGUAUGGCUGGACAUCAAAUGCUACAGACAUUUCUGUAUUUGUAAAUUGUCUUAUUGUGUACUUACUAAAUUAAUGUGUA
This is a non-coding RNA of Chelonoidis abingdonii (Abingdon island giant tortoise), 1315 nucleotides long. Lineage: Eukaryota; Metazoa; Chordata; Testudines; Testudinidae. The record is from RefSeq and is a predicted model, not a curated record.